GUGUUUUAUAGCCGAAGAUCCAUUUCCUUUAUUUUAAUAAUACACAUUUUCUCAGAAAUGAAGUCUGCAGAUGAUUUAUUGCAGUUAAACUACACCCUGAAUUUUAGUUUAUGAAUCAUGGAAAGAAUUGACUUUAAACUUUAUCUUUUUAAACCCUAAUUGUUCAGUAGAAUCUUUUUAAGCAGCCAUUGAAAUUAAGGUAAAAAUUUUGAAAAAAUAUGAAAUAUUGGAUUGGAGUCAAAUGCACCCGCACGAGCGGGUUCGAACUCACAACCUCAGUGUUGACUGGCUAGUGAUUACAGUAGUAACUACUUAGACCACUCGGCCACCGAGGCCCCCUAUAAAAUUUGAAUUUAAAGAUUUAAGUAUUAAGGAUCAUGUACAGUCAAUAUAAAAAAGAAGAUGUGGUAUGAUUGCCAAUGAGACAACUGUCCACAAGAGACCAAAAUGACACAGA
Molecule: long non-coding RNA, 457 nt
Filed under: Mytilus galloprovincialis (Mediterranean mussel)
Lineage: Eukaryota; Metazoa; Mollusca; Bivalvia; Mytilida; Mytilidae
Source: RNAcentral